UACGAAGGGAGCUAGCGUUGUUCGGAAUCACUGGGCGUAAAGCGCACGUAGGCGGCUUGGAAAGUCGGAUGUGAAAAUCCGGGGCUCAACCCCGGACCUGCAUCCGAUACUUCCAGGCUAGAGGUAGGUAGGGGAGAUCGGAAUUCCUGGUGUAGCGGUGAAAUGCGCAGAUAUCAGGAGGAACACCGGUGGCGAAGGCGGAUCUCUGGGCCUUACCUGACGCUGAGGCGCGAAAGCUAGGGGAGCGAACAGG
RNAcentral lists this ribosomal RNA (253 nucleotides) under uncultured bacterium. RNAcentral's name for it is "partial 16S ribosomal RNA". It matches the Rfam family "Bacterial small subunit ribosomal RNA", at positions 524 to 776 of the family's 1533-position model. The record is from RNAcentral.